Molecule: long non-coding RNA, 272 nt
Filed under: Lytechinus variegatus (green sea urchin)
Lineage: Eukaryota; Metazoa; Echinodermata; Echinoidea; Temnopleuroida; Toxopneustidae
Description: uncharacterized LOC121414968
Source: RNAcentral
AUUAAUAUCAAUCCAAUGACAUUCCAUAGGAAUAAAAAUCCAAUGGGAUCCAGUUCUUAGCAGUCCCAGCCUAGUCAGAAGUACAAAGUCAAAUACCAUUUGCACAUCACCAAGAGGUACAAUCUGAUGAGUAACAGGAUAUCUGAUCUAAAAGCUUGCCAGGUUUCACAAGCAGUUUGAGUAUCACCAGGGCAGAUCAAGAAGAAAUAUGAAGGCCAGGUUCAUAACAAGCAGUUUCUUCAUUGCAAUUACAGAUUUAAAAACUUGAAUGA